GACGAACGCUGGCGGCGUGCUUAACACAUGCAAGUCGAACGGAAAGGCCUCUUUCGGGGGGUACUCGAGUGGCGAACGGGUGAGUAACACGUGAGUAACCUGCCCUUGACUUUGGGAUAACUUCAGGAAACUGGGGCUAAUACCGGAUAGGAGCUCCUGCUGCAUGGUGGGGGUUGGAAAGUUUUGGCGGUUGGGGAUGGACUCGCGGCUUAUCAGCUUGUUGGUGGGGUAGUGGCUUACCAAGGCUUUGACGGGUAGCCGGCCUGAGAGGGUGACCGGCCACAUUGGGACUGAGAGACGGCCCAGACUCCUACGGGAGGCAGCAGUGGGGAAUAUUGCACAAUGGGUGGAAGCCUGAUGCAGCAACGCCGUGUGCGGGAUGACGGCCUUCGGGUUGUAAACCGCUUUCGCUCAUGACGAAGCUUUGUGUGACGGUAGUGGGUAAAGAAGCACCGGCUAACUACGUG
This 467-nucleotide ribosomal RNA is filed under the name uncultured bacterium. RNAcentral describes it as "partial 16S ribosomal RNA". It matches the Rfam family "Bacterial small subunit ribosomal RNA", at positions 28 to 507 of the family's 1533-position model. The record is from RNAcentral.